Molecule: non-coding RNA, 1013 nt
Organism: Camellia sinensis
Lineage: Eukaryota; Viridiplantae; Streptophyta; Magnoliopsida; Ericales; Theaceae
Source: RefSeq, a predicted model, not a curated record
UCAUGAACAAUGCUAGCUAUUUUUAAGUCUGAACUAGGUGUUGCUGGUGUCAUUGCCCUCUUUUAUGCAUAAUCUUUUCCAAACUCUCGAGAUGAAAUCUAGCAAUAUUGUGUCACCUUUAUGUGAAGCUGGCAAGUUGUUAACCUUGAAUGUGCUGUCCUAGCCUAUGUCAUUUUGACAAGUGCUUACUCAGCUUCUGUAAUUUUUUUUUAAAAAAAUAUAUAUAUAUACAUAUAUAAAGCUCCCUUUUCUGCUCUUCUACAUUUGAGGACCUUCUCUCUUGUUUUAUAUAUUAAGUACAAGCAUGCAUGUGCUAGCAUGUGUAUGUCAUGUUCAACAUUCGGCACUCAGUGGUCCAGUAACUGAUUUGGCAGGUGCAUACUAUUUUAGAUGAAAUUGUGUUGGGUGGUCAAGUUCUUGAGACAAGUUCUUCAGAAGUUAUGAAGGCUGUUGAAGAAAUCUCAAAGUUGGAAAAGGCCUCAAAUACAAUUCUGGUUGUCCCAAAAUCUAUUCCUGGCUGGCAUGCUCGAUAGCACAUGACUUCUCUAGCAGGUGGAGGAUGAUAGAAGGAGAGAAAGCAAGCAUGCUGAAGGAGAACAAAAAGGAGCAACACAACUUAGAUUCAACCAUAGAAAAUCCAGUGUAAAGCUUUAACUUCACUUGGUCUUUGGUUUUUGGGUACCUAAAAUCUUGAAGAAUAGACACUGCUUACAAAUUUCGGAAACUAUUGAAAAGAGUUGUGUUGACCUUUUUCUGUGGUAUCACCUGACUUUGCUCUCCUCCAGCCCCAUGUGCCGGUGCUCUUAAUUGUGAUUGAUAUAUUGAACUUUGUACUGAUAAAUUUCAAAAAUUCUUGAAUAGUGUCAUAAAUGUGACUCGAGUGAUAUGGCUGUCUUUGUUGUGUGGGUUAUUUUAAGCAUAUUGUUUAUCAGACUUUCAAAUUGUUGCAAGGCUGAAGCCCUUCUACUGGGCGGGACUCAACAAAAAGUUGGAAAGCAGUCCGUCUUUCGGAA